GGGAACUACGAGCAUUAGCUUAAAACCCAAAGGACUUGGCGGUGCUUUAGAUCCCUCUAGAGGAGCCUGUUCUAGAACCGAUAACCCCCGUUAAACCUCACCUUCUCUUGUUCUCCCCGCCUAUAUACCGCCGUCGUCAGCAUACCCUGUGAAGGAACCAUAGUAAGCAAAAUUGGUAAAGCCCAAAACGCCAGGUCGAGGUGUAGCAUAUGAGAAGGGAAGAAAUGGGCUACAUUUCCUCAUGGAGGAAAUACGAAUUGUGCCAUCGCAACAGCACAUGAAGGAGGAUUUAGUAGUAAGCAGGAAGCAGAGUGUCCUGCUGAACCCGGCCCUGAAGCGCGCACACACCGCCCGUCACUCUCCCCAAGCCAACACCCUCAGUUUUUAUAAAACCUUAGCCGGCAAAGGGGAGGCAAGUCGUAACAUGGUAAGUGUACCGGAAGGUGCCAUUGGAAAAAU
RNAcentral lists this ribosomal RNA (459 nucleotides) under Cyprinodon variegatus (sheepshead minnow). Its description in RNAcentral is "partial 12S ribosomal RNA". It matches the Rfam family "Bacterial small subunit ribosomal RNA", at positions 875 to 1533 of the family's 1533-position model. The record is from RNAcentral. Lineage: Eukaryota; Metazoa; Chordata; Actinopteri; Cyprinodontiformes; Cyprinodontidae.